CAGUAGCCGCGGUAAUACGUAGGUGGCAAGCGUUGUCCGGAAUUAUUGGGCGUAAAGGGCUCGCAGGCGGUUUCUUAAGUCUGAUGUGAAAGCCCCCGGCUCAACCGGGGAGGGUCAUUGGAAACUGGGAAACUUGGGUGCAGAAGAGGAGAGUGGAAUUCCACGUGUAGCGGUGAAACGCGUAGAGAUGUGGAGGAACACCAGUGGCGAAGGCGACUCUCUGGUCUGUAACUGACGCUGAGGAGCGAAAGCGUGGGGAGCGAACAGGAUUAGAUACCCCAGUAGUCCCUGUCUCUUAUAC
This 301-nucleotide ribosomal RNA is filed under the name uncultured bacterium. RNAcentral's name for it is "partial 16S ribosomal RNA". It matches the Rfam family "Bacterial small subunit ribosomal RNA", at positions 509 to 807 of the family's 1533-position model. The record is from RNAcentral.